RNAcentral lists this ribosomal RNA (639 nucleotides) under Arthrobacter sp. Se1Pt_1567. Its description in RNAcentral is "bacterial SSU rRNA". It matches the Rfam family "Bacterial small subunit ribosomal RNA", at positions 379 to 1029 of the family's 1533-position model. Lineage: Bacteria; Bacillati; Actinomycetota; Actinomycetes; Micrococcales; Micrococcaceae. The record is from RNAcentral.
AAGCCUGAUGCAGCGACGCCGCGUGAGGGAUGACGGCCUUCGGGUUGUAAACCUCUUUCAGUAGGGAAGAAGCGAAAGUGACGGUACCUGCAGAAGAAGCGCCGGCUAACUACGUGCCAGCAGCCGCGGUAAUACGUAGGGCGCAAGCGUUAUCCGGAAUUAUUGGGCGUAAAGAGCUCGUAGGCGGUUUGUCGCGUCUGCCGUGAAAGUCCGGGGCUCAACUCCGGAUCUGCGGUGGGUACGGGCAGACUAGAGUGAUGUAGGGGAGACUGGAAUUCCUGGUGUAGCGGUGAAAUGCGCAGAUAUCAGGAGGAACACCGAUGGCGAAGGCAGGUCUCUGGGCAUUAACUGACGCUGAGGAGCGAAAGCAUGGGGAGCGAACAGGAUUAGAUACCCUGGUAGUCCAUGCCGUAAACGUUGGGCACUAGGUGUGGGGGACAUUCCACGUUUUCCGCGCCGUAGCUAACGCAUUAAGUGCCCCGCCUGGGGAGUACGGCCGCAAGGCUAAAACUCAAAGGAAUUGACGGGGGCCCGCACAAGCGGCGGAGCAUGCGGAUUAAUUCGAUGCAACGCGAAGAACCUUACCAAGGCUUGACAUGAACCGGAAACACCUGGAAACAGGUGCCCCGCUUGCGGUCG